GAUGAAGAACGUAGCGAAAUGCGAUAAGUAAUGUGAAUUGCAGAAUUCAGUGAAUCAUCGAAUCUUUGAACGCACAUUGCGCCCGCUAGUAUUCUGGCGGGCAUGCCUGUUCGAGCGUCAUUUCAACCAUCAAGCCUUUAGGCUUGUGUUGGAGCCCUGCGGCCUCCCGCAGCCUCCUAAAUCUAGUGGCGGGCUCGCUAUCGCACCGAGUGCAGUAACUAUUAUCUUCUCUCAGGGCGUGUGGCGGGUGCUGGCCGUGAAACCCCCCCUUUUUAUCAAGGUUGACCUCGGAUCAGGUAGGAAUACCCGCUGAACUUAAGCAUAUCAAUAAGCGGAGGA
RNAcentral lists this unclassified non-coding RNA (339 nucleotides) under soil metagenome. RNAcentral describes it as "partial contains 5.8S ribosomal RNA, internal transcribed spacer 2, and large subunit ribosomal RNA". The stretch from base 1 to 120 matches the Rfam family "5.8S ribosomal RNA", at positions 35 to 154 of the family's 154-position model. The record is from RNAcentral.